GAUCUGAGGUGGGGUGAGGAUGAGAGGGAAGAUCUCAAGUGGAAUUUGAAGGUGGAGCCAAUGGGAUUGGAGGAGGGAGGAGCUGAUGGCUUGGAUAUAAGAGGCAGGAGGAAGGGGGUAGGGCGGGAGGACCGCUCCAAAGCUUCAGGUGUACACAACCAGAAGAAUGGACUUCUCCAAUGUUGAGCCCGGGGCACUGGAGGUGGAGUCUUUUUUUUCAGACUGCUAGCAAGCUCUGCCUCUCUGGAGGGAGGCAGAGUGGAAAUGCCCCGCAGCUCUGGCUCCUGGGCGGCUCACGGCAGGCACAGGUGAGGCCUGGGAUCUGGACGGCUGGCGAUGGUGUGGUGGAGGAGAGCCCUGGGUGCAGGCUUAUAUUCCAGCUGCAGGAUGGAAAUCAGGUGAUGACUGUUUGAAAACACUUCAAAACUUGUCAACCAGGGGUUGCUCGAGAAGCAUGACGUGGACAUGUGCAUUCGAGUAUCCUUUGCAUGGAGCAGCAGGCAGAGUGGGGGAUGGCAGGUUUCUAACUGGUCUUCACGUGAGGAAACCAGAGGAGGCCUCUGCCCCUGGAGCUGGACCAUUUGCUGGGGCCCUGGCUAGGCUAUCCGAGGGGGAUAGUAAAGGCCGCAGGGCCCUCUGAAGACAGCAGGGCCUUGCACAAGGAAGUCCAGCCGUUCAGUGGGUGCACAGACAGGAUGACGGCAGCUUACGGUGCCUGAGGAAUCACGUGCCAGGGACUCGUAAGAUUAACUGAGGAAGCCAGGGCAAUGGACAGCCUCUCCUCUCCUGGGAGAGCAGACAUUCUGAAUGACACUGAUAGGCCCCUUUCUGUCUGAGAGUGAGAGAGAUGAAGCCCAUACCGAGAGUCAGAGUGUUGGCCCCUUCCCCUCUUCCCAGUCCGUAGGAACACACAUCUGAAAUAUGUGGAAAUUUUCAGGGCGCCUGGCUGGUUCAGUGGGCAGGACAUGUGACCCGGGAUCUCGGGGUGGUGAGUUCAAGCCCCAUGUUGGACAUGGAGCCUACUUAAAAAAAAGGAAUAAUUUAAAAAUAUAAUAAUACAUACAUACAUGCACAAGUGGAAACUUUGUCCUGUGGGCAGAAGAAUGUGGGAGUUAUAGUCAGACAGACCUGCAAAAGCUCUACCACUUGUCAACUGGUUAUUUCAUACCUCUGAGGCUCAGUUUCUCCCACUCUAUAAUGGGGAUGGGUACCCACUUCACAGGAUGGGGACAGAAUGGGAUAAAUGUGUGUACAAGGUGUGAGACAUCCGGGGCUGGUUUGCCAUAGCUGGUGGGGCUGGAAGGCAAGGGCAGUGAAAGUCCCCCACGCCAGGCUGACAUGGGAUGAUGUUACCUUUAGGGGUGACAGAGGUUUUUCCCUGGGCCGCAGUGUGACUUAGAUCCCUCAUAUGGCAGGGAAGGCCCCAAAGAAGGCCAGGUCUGAGACUCACCUGUCUGUGCAAUGGUUUAGUGAGUGGUGUGCCCAGCCGGGGUGAUCACUGCCUUGCUCGGGUUGGUUGCUCAGCAAGACAAAGCGGAUGACAGAAGCUUCUCCUCUUUGUGGCAGUACCAAAACUCUUUUUGAUCCCAAAUGAUGUAAAUUGCAGGAUCCCCGGAGGCAAAGACCCUUCAGGAAGGGUUUGCAUCUCCCUUAUCCCUUAUCAUACCAGACACACUGUCCAGGUAAGAGCCCCCUUGCUCCCGUCUUCAGCCCAAAUGCUGGCUUCUGCAGUUUUAUGAGCCAUCCUCACUCCAGGGGUAGGAUCUCCUAUUUGGUGUGUGUGUGUGGCGGGGGGGGGGGGGGGGGGGGGGGGGGGGGGGGGGGGGGGGGGGGGACAGCUGAGAUGUGGCUCAGGACCCAGCCAAGUGACUGUGCCAGGGAAGGAAGCCUUGCUAACCGUCUUUAUUAUCUUCCUGGGAGCAGGACCUGAGCUCCCAAGGUGACACUCCAUUUCAGCACUCCUUACUGGACACUGAAGAAACUGUUUCUUCCCGUUCUUGAAACAAGAAAGGUAGGCAAGAAUAAUUUCUCAACAAAGUGUGGUUUUAAGCAGAGGAUUCAUGAACAUAUGUUCUCCUCCCUUGUUGCAGAUAGGCGACCUUUCUCUAGGAGGGGACUAAGAG
Molecule: long non-coding RNA, 2123 nt
Filed under: Canis lupus familiaris (dog)
Lineage: Eukaryota; Metazoa; Chordata; Mammalia; Carnivora; Canidae
Description: lncRNA (ENSCAFG00845022549.1)
Source: RNAcentral